This 77-nucleotide microRNA precursor is filed under the name Marmota monax (woodchuck). Lineage: Eukaryota; Metazoa; Chordata; Mammalia; Rodentia; Sciuridae. The record is from RNAcentral.
CCCUUUAUAAUGUUGAGAUAUGUUCCUGUUUUUAAAAACCAGGGAUAACAGGAACAUAUCUCAACAUUAUAAAGGCU